AAACACAAUCGUGACUAGCGAUCUUUACUACUCAUGAAUAUAAGUUCAUAACGAUUAGGUGAAAUUCCCUUAUAUCCUAGCAUCAAGUUUAGGCAUGCAAAUUAAGUGUCGACCCUCAACCCACAUACAUAAACAAGUUCUUAAUCAAAACAGAAAAGUAAACCACAUCUAAAGUUCAUGAAUUCAUAACUGGAGUAAAAACAAAUCAUAACCAACAUAUGUCCAUGGCUUCAAAUUUGCCUCUAACUAAAAAGAAAUUAGUUCCACAUGUUUAACAUAAUUGAACAGCAAGUUAAAUUAAACAUGAACAUAGAAUUAAAAGAAGAAAGAAUUCCAAACACUCUAAUAGUUGCAGAUUGCAUAAGCAUGGCACUACUCCUCCUCUCCUUCAAUGGUGGCGGCACAAGGUGGUUAUGGUGGUUGAAUGGUUGGUUAUAUGGAGGAAUGGAUGGGGAAGGUUUAGAUAUGUAGGGAGAGGCAAGGGAAGGCUUGGAGAAUGGUUAAUUUCUGGAUGAUUUGAAUGAGGUUGCUGCCAUGGUAUUUAUAGGAAAAUGAUGGACUUGUUUAACAUAAAAUUCUGGUGGAAUUGAGUAGGUGAGCACGGCAAAGAGUGGGAAUUGUUGGUGGGUUAGGUAUUGAGUCAUCCAUUCACAUGUCAUGGUGAGUUAAGCAUUGCAUCAUCCACUCACAUGUCAUGGUGAUUUAAGCAUUGCAUCAUCACUCAAAUUUCUGGUGAAAGUGAAUCAAUGCCCACGGCAUUGAAGAAUUUCUUGGUUUUGAGUGAAGUUUUGGUCAAUCCUUCUAGAAAUUUAUCCCUUCUUGCAACUUGUAUUUGUUUCACCAGAUUUUUAGCAUGUUCAUAGCCUCUUUUGUCUUCAAAUUUGUCCAUCCUCAUGCCUCCAUGCUUGCACAAUCCAAUCUUGGCCCAAAAAUGUUCUAGAAUGUUCCAAAUUGCUUCUUUUUGCAUACUUUGACACUAAAACCUGAAAUUGCACGAAAAUAACUUUAAACACUAUAAUUAUAAUAGCUUAGCUAAUUAAAAGCAAGAAAACAAGCUAACUAAGUCGUAUAAAUAUGCUCCUAUCAAUUUCCCCCACACUUAGCUUUUGCUAGUCCUCGAGCAAAAUAAAACAAACAAAACAUAACUUAACCUUCCAACAUUUGCUACAGGGAUUUCCAACGAUACAUAACAUGCCAAAGAUCAUUAUUCCCACAGAUUUUAGUCAUCCCUACUCUUGAGCAUAUACUUAAUCAUAGUUACCAUUCACUAGCUCACAUUUAAUCGUUUAAAACAACAUUAUGGACGUAGUAACAUGCCUUAGAGAAUCCACUCAAUUCCUUACUGGAUACACUCUUAUUUUCACACAGAUUUUCUAACUACACUCCCUAUACUAAGUAUAUGUGAGAAGAUUGAUGUAAACAUGGAAACGAACACUCACACAUGUUAUAAAAAAAGCACUUUUCUAGAAUGAUUAAGCAUUUAUAGAUAUGAUCUCAUGAAUGGAACGCAGAACCAGGGACACCAUAUGCUCAAACCAAUCCCAAACUCCACAUAUUGAAAUACAUAACACUCAAGAUAGAAGUUAAGGAUUGUAACGGGGCUAAGGGGUAUUGGCUAACAAAGAAAGGUUAAGGAUAAACAAAAGUUCUUAAAGCGAUAGCAAACAAGUAAUGAAUAUGACACUUAGAAUUCACUUUUGCGUGCAGAAAAUCACUUAGACACACAAGGGGGUGAAAUACACAAUAUUUAGGGUCUAAUUUAACUUUUUUGGACCCUUUCUUCAACAACCAACACUUGUGAGUUCUUUCUUAUUUUGACCUCUUUGCCAUAAUUUUUUAUUUUUUAUUUUAUUUUUUUUUUCGUACCCAAUUCUUGCUUUUGGCACAAAUUCCCACACAUAAAUUCCUUCCCCCACACUUGUUUUUCUGCACAAGAAUAAUCAAAAGGAAUUCAUUCUAAGUCAUGUUCACUAUGCUUUAAGAACAAAGGCAUGGAUGGUCCUAUUCUAGGCUAGGUAAGGAUAACGUGGGUUAACAAAGAACAUAGGCUAAACAAGGCUCAACGGGGCUUAAACCUACAAAACAAAUGAACAUGGGGUGCGGCUAUUUGGUUCUUGGUUUACUAACAACUUCAUCUUGUUAUGUGUUAUGCGAAUCAAUUUUAUGCUUUGAAUGAAACGGGCAUGAGUUCUAGUAUUUGGAACUAAAUGAUGAAACGCCUUCUAAGUAGUAACCAAGCAAAGAAUAAUGAGAUCAUGCAACGACUUUAGAAGACAACAAAUGCACAGAUUAUUAACUCUCCAAAGAACGUUAAAAGCUCAAGUCUCUCAGGGUUGUAGCGUUAGUUUGAGUUUCUUCUUUCAAGCAUGUUACAAAAACUAAUUUUUCUUUUUUGAUUACAUGUGAAUUCAUGAAUUACAACUAAGCAUAAACCAAAGAGCAUAUCAAACUUUCAUCCAUGAUUGUAACUUACUUCAACAGUUAUGCAAUUAAAAACCAAAUCCUCAUCAUUGUGUUGGAAGGUACCCUAAAACACAAAAAUGACUCAAAAACGACUCUUUUUGGUAUUUUUCAAACUUUUUCGAAUUUUUCUAGGGUUUUCUGUUAUAUAACACUAAAACACAUCAAAACACUAAAAACACUUUAAAACAGUGAGAAACAACAUGUGAAGUGAUAGGUGAUAAAAUCCCACGAAUUUCAUGCAAAAAUAGCUUGUUUACCCCUCCACACUUAAACCAAACAUUGUCCUCAAUGUUUUAAACAUAGAUUAACACAAAAACAAUCAACUAACACAACUAGCAAACAUAACACAAAUGGCAAAGUAAUAGCAAUAAAGAGAUAGGUUAGGGACGCAAAUCUGGGUUUGGAGUGAAAGUUCCUUCUUCUCGUGUUUCAACACAUGGGUUGCCUCCCAAGAAGCACUUGCUUUAACGUCUUUCAGCCGGACGGUACCUCCGUUUAAGCUUGACUAGGUUCCACGGCAUGGAGGGGUACCUCCUCCACGACAUGCUCCUCAAACAUCUCGUAAUAGGGCUUCAAUCGAUGCCCAUUCACUUUGAAUUCUUGCUGCGUCCUUGAACUUUUGAUUUGCACUGCACCAUGAGGGAAAACAUUAGUGACAAUAAAAGGACCAACCCAUUUGGAACGCAACUUACCCGGAAACAACCGAAGGCGAGAAUUGAACAACACUUUCUGCCUAAUAGAGAACGUCUUGGCACGAAUCAUCUUGUCAUGGAAUGCCUUCGUUUUCUCCUUGUAAAUCCGGGCAUUCUCAUAUGCUUCAUUUCGGAUUUCAUCAAGUUCACACAAUUGAAGCUUUCUAUGUAAACCUGCGGCAUUAAGGUCCAAAUUGAACGUUUUGACGGCCCAAUGUGCACGAUGCUCUAACUCGACAGGAAGAUGGCAUGGCUUCCCAUAGAUGAGUCGAAAAGGUGACAUCCCAAUAGGGGUUUUGUAGGCAGUGCGAUACGCCCACAAUGCAUCGUUUAAGCGCAAAUUCCAAUCCUUCCUUGUAGGCCCCACGGUUUUCUCAAGAAUCUGCUUGAUUUCCCUAUUUGAAACAUCGGCUUGCCCGCUCGUUUGAGGAUGAUAAGGUAUGGCCACCUUAUGCGUGACAUUGUAUUUCUUGAGCAACGCCUCGAUGGUUCGAUUACAAAAAUGGGAACCUCCAUCACUGAUUAGCACUCGUGGCAUUCCAAACCUUGCAAAAAUGUUAGUUUUCACAAAAUCUGCAACCACUCGAGAAUCAUUAGUUCGGGUGGCUUUUGCUUCCACGCAUUUCGACACAUAGUCCACAACAAGCAAUAUAUAAAGAAACCCUUGUGACGAAGGAAAGGGACCCAUAAAAUCAAUACCCUAAACAUCAAAGAUUUCAACACUAAAAAUGGGGGUUUGCGGCAUUUGUUGUUUAGGACCAAUAUUGCCCGUUCUUUGGCAUCUAUCACAAGACAUGCAAAAUGUUCUAGCAUCCCUAAAGAUGGUAGGCCAAUAGAAACCACAUUCUAACACCUUAAGUGCUGUUCUUUGAGUGCCAAAGUGUCCCCCACAAGCAUAAGUGUGACAAAAGGUUAGAAUAUCAUUAAACUCAGAAUCGUGCACACACCUACGUAUAACUUGGUCAGGGCAAUAUUUCCAUAAAUACAGGUCAUCCCACACAUAAAACCGUGCCUCUUUCUUCAAUUUAUCACAUUGGUGUUUAAGUAAUUCACUAGGAACAUGUUUAGACACCAAAUAAUUCACCAAAUCAGCAUACCACAGUUCAUUUACCUUGACGGACAUCAGUUGCUCAUCUGGGAAUGUCUCUAUAAUAGGCACGGCAUCCUCCUCAUGCACCAUUCGGCUCAAGUGGUCAGCCACCACGUUUUCACUUCCCUUCUUAUCCCGGAUUUCGAUAUCGAACUCUUGGAGAAGAAGCAUCCAACGAAUGAGUCGUGGUUUGGCUUCCUUCUUGGUGAACAAAUACUUCAAUGCUGCAUGGUCAGUAUAAAUAAUAACUUUAGUACCAAGCAAAUAAGAACGGAAUUUAUCUAAAGCAAAUACAACAGCAAGAAGUUCUUUUUCAGUGGUAGAAUAAUUCAAUUGUGCAUCAUUUAAAGUCCGAGAGGCAUAAUAGAUAACAUGCGGCCUCUUUUCCUUCCUUUGCCCCAAAACAACUCCUAAUGCAUAAUCGGAAGCAUCACACAUAAGCUCAAAAGGAAAGCUCCAAUCCGGUGGAACUAUGAUAGGGGCCGAAGUUAGCAUUUCUUUGAGGUGAUUGAACGCCUUCUCACACUCCUCGUUGAAGUCAAACGCCACAUCUUUCUGGAGGAGACGGCAAAGAGGGUUUGAGAUCUUGGAGAAGUCCUUGAUAAAUCGCCUAUAAAAUCCUGCAUGACCAAGAAACGAACGAAUCUCUCGAACCGAAGUAGGAGAGGGUAAGUAGCGUAUAAGAUCUAUUUUCGAUUUAUCCACUUCAAUUCCUCUUUCUGAAACAAUAUGCCCUAGAACUAUGCCUUGUCUAACCAUAAAGUGACAUUUUUCCCAAUUAAGCACAAGGUUAGUUUCUACACAUCGUUUCAAAAUUCUUGUGAGAUUUUCCAAACAACCAUCAAAUGAAUCACCAAACACACUGAAAUCAUCCAUAAAUACCUCAAUAAUCUUUUUCACAAAAUCUGAAAAGAUACUUACCAUACACCUUUGAAACGUGGCCGGAGCAUUGCAUAAACCAAAAGGCAUGCGACCAUAAGCAAAAGUACCAAAGGGGCAUGUGAAAGUUGUCUUUUCUUAGUCAUCCGGCGCUAUGACAAUCUGAUUAUAUCCAGAAUAACCAUCAAGGAAACAAUAAAAAGAAUGACAGGCUAACCUUUCAAGCAUUUGAUCAAUGAACGGCAAAGGGAAGUGGUCCUUCCUUGUGGUGGCGUUGAGCUUCCUAUAAUCAAUGCACACUCUCCAACCUGUUUGGAUACGGGUUGGCACAAGCUCAUUCUCGGCAUUUUUCACCACUGUCACUCCGGACUUCUUUGGAACACAUUGGACCGGUGAUACCCAACGACUAUCAGAGAUCGGAUAAAUCACUCCACAAUCAAGAAGUUUGAUAAUCUCUUUUUUCACAACUUCCAUCAUUGGAGGGUUGAGACGGCGCUGAGCCUCUCGAGUUGGUUUAGCCCCCUCCUCUAGAAGUAUGCGAUGCAUGCACGUAGUCGGGCUAAUUCCCCUAAUAUCGGCCAAAGUCCACGUAAUGGCCGUCUUGUGCUCUUUCAACAUUCGGAUCAACUUCUCCUCUUCUAUGGCCGUGAGUGAUGAGGAGAUAAUGACGGGCAAUGUCUCGUUAUCUCCCAGAAAGACGUACUUUAAAUGAUCGGGCAACGGUUUAAGCUCAAGUACGGGUGCCUGAGUUACUGAGGGUAACAACUUAUUAGUGGAGACUGAAAUUGAAAUUGGGUUAGAAGGCUUACCAUGAUAUUGAGGUAGUGACUCAAGGGCAGCCACUAUCUCGGCCUCCUCCACACUUCUAGGCACGGCAAAACCAGAUUUUUGCCCAAUUCCUUGUGCAAUUGUUGUUUCAAGUGUAUCCCUCUCCAAACAAUCGAGAAAAUCCUGCGCCAAAUCAUCAAUUAUAUCAAUAGAAAAGCAAGAAUGAUCGUCCUUAGGAAAUUUAAUACUUUCAGAAAGAUUGAAAUCAAUGACUUCCCCAUCAAAUUCCAUCGUUAAAGUUCCUUUAAACACAUCUAUCUUGGUGCGGGUUGUUUUCAUGAAGGGCCUCCCUAAUAGAAUCGUCAAUGGGGUGGAAUGGGGUGAAUCUUCCGUGUCAAGCAUGUAGAAAUCCGCUGGAAAAUCAAGUUACUAACCUGCACCAAAACAUCUUCCAAAACACCCUUUGGAUAUGCAUUAGAACGAUCGGCUAAUUGAAUUAUCACACCAUCAUUUUUAAGCUCACCUAAGUUCAUAGAUGCAUAAAUAGAGUAUGGCAUAACAUUAAUUGAAGCCCCUAAGUCUAACAUGCAUUGUUCAAACUUAGUAUUACCAAUAACGCACGGAAUUGUAAAACUACCCGGAUCUUUGCAUUUAGGGGGUAAUUUCCUUUGUAACACAGCAGAGACAUUUUCACUUACUUGAACCACCUCUUUGUUCGAAAUCCUUCUCCUUGUUGUACAAAGUUCUUUUAAAAACUUAGCAUACCUCGGGACUUGCUUAAUCGCAUCAAGGAGCGGGAUAUUGACUUGAACUUUCCGAAAGGUCUCUAGAAUGUCCUUCUCGGCUUCUUCCUUCUUUGAUUGCUUAAACCCGCCAGGAAAGGGCACAUUUAGUGGAAUAGAACUAGAAAAAGUUGAAUUGGGACUUACCUUGGUGGUUUGGGACGGUUUAGGAGGACUAGAUGAAUUCGGCAAGGUUUGGUCAUCCUUGGCCUUGGGCUUUGCUCCCUGUGCUUCUUCUUGCAGCAACUUGUCCUCCUCGUCUUGACUUGAUUUGGAUGUAUUUGAGUCCGUUCCAACCUGUUUACCACUUUUUAACAUGAUGGCCUUAGCGGUUUCAAAUCCUCCAUUCGGGUUCAUAACAGUUGAACUAGGCAAUCUGCCUUAUUCUCUAAUUUGCCCCAUAAAUUCGGCAAUUUGACCCAUUUGCUUCUCCAAAUUGUCCACCCGUUUGUCUUGGAUUUGUCUCUCUUUAUUUUGAGUUUGUACUUCAUGCGUCAAAGUAGUAAGUAACUUAACAACUUGAUCAUUAUCCAAAGACAUACCUGAGGUUGUUAGGGCAGAUUGCACUUGGUUUUGAUUGGGGACGAAUGGCUUUGUAUAAAAGCUCGGUGGUUGCUGCCUAAUUCCUCCUUGUUGUUGGGGUUGUUGAGGAUCCCGCCAUUUGAAAUUUGGAUGGUCCCUCCACCCCGGAUUGUAGGUAUUAGAGUAUGGAUCAUGGCGUGGUUGAUUUUGGUUCCCAAAACCCACGGCAUUGGCAGAUUCCCAACCCCCAUUCUCAAUCAAUUGAGGGCAUUGAUCAUUGGCAUGUCCUUGCAUAGAGCACACGCCACACACACUUGGUCCAUGAAUCUUCAUUCCCUCGGCCAACUGAGAAACAAUAGAAGUAAGGUUAGCUAAUUGGGAUUGAAUUUCGGGCAUAGAACUUACCUCAUUCACUUGUGGCCGUGGGGGGUCUCUUUGUCCAACACCUUCGUAUUGUUGUGCAUUAUGUGCUCGGUUGGCAAUUAGAACUUUUGCAGCCCCCGGAGUUUUAUCCACCAACGCACCUCCUGCCGAGGCAUCAAGCAUUUGGCGUUCCAUGGGAAGGAGUCCUUCGUAGAAGUAUUGAAUGAGCAGCUCCUCCUUCAUUUGAUGCUGUGGACAAGAAGCAACAAGUGAUUUAAAACGUUCAUAAUAAGAAGGAAACGAUUCACCUUGAUCUUGUUGGAUGCCACUAAUCCGUUUCCUCAAAAGAAUGACUCUUGAAGUUGGGAAAAACUUCUCCAAGAAAGCUUUUUUCAUACUAUCCCAAGAUGUAACCGUUCCGGGUGCUAACUCGUAAAGCCAAUCCUUCGCCUUUUCCAAAAGUGAGAAUGGAAAAGCCUUCAUCAUCAGAAUGUUCCCGUCAACAUUUGUGGGUGUCAUGCUCGAACAAACAACCUCGAAUUCCUUGAGAUGUUUGUUGGGCUCUUCCAUGGAAAGCCCAUGGUAUUUCGGAAUGUGGUGCAACAAGCUUGACUUCAACUCGAAAUUCAUCGGUCUUGCCUUGGGCAGCCGCGGGGGUAUUGAAUGCAUAAUGGUGCGGCAUUGGUCAACCCCGAGGCUGAAAGCUCUUUAAUGGUCCGAUUGUCCGCUGCCAUAACUUCUUCUUUCACUUCUUCAAACUCAGAUUCGGCCUCUGAACUUGAACUAGGUUCACUAGGUUCGGGAUGCCUCCUCUUUCUUCUCAAAUCACGUUCAAAAUCGUCGUUAAAGUCCAAGAUAUGCACAGUUUGAGAACUCCGCGUCAUGCAUUAGUACCUAAACCAAGAAAACAAAACAAAAUAAGAAAACUAGGUAAAUUACACUAAAAACACACGGCAAAAACACAAGGGAUUAGCAAUUUUUGCUAAUCCCCGGCAACGGCGCCAAAAUUUGAUGUGAGAAUUACUUGACACACAAAUUAAACCCUAUUGAUGACAAUUGUAGUAAUGAUGUAAGUAGGGAUCGUUCUAGACCGGGGAUUAACUAGGGAUGCUAAUCAACAAAUAUAAGACUCAAAAACACUAAACUAGACUCUAUAAACGCAAAACUAACUUAAAACACUCAAAACAGCAAAUAACAAUAAAAAAGAUUCAAUUCUAGACCUAACAAGUGAUUUGGACGAAAAUAUAACUUUAAAAGACUCAAAAGAUUUAAAGGAAACAAGUUUUGACUCUAAAAGCAAGACUUAAAAGCAAGGGGUUUUGUUUUGACGAAAAUUGAACUUUUAAAACUUUAAAACUUUGAAAAUAAACUUAAAACAAAAUAGAUUGUGAUGAAAUAGAAUGAUGAGAAACUAGUUAGAGGGUUCCUUAUCCACACAUGAACAUAUGCAUAUAAUUUGAUUCCCAGUUAUGACUUCAACAAACGAUGAAUGACAAUGUUCCAAGUUAAUUAGGUCCGCUUAAAUUAACUCUUAGAUUUCCCUAGAUUCAUUGGAUUGAAUGGAAUACGCAUUACAACCAAAUUAUUCCUCAUCAAAGUCCCUAACUAUGGAAUACGCAUGAUAGAGACAUUCAACAAAGAUCAUUAAGUUCAACGGAAAUCAUAAACAUUGACUAGGCAUUCAUAACUAUGGAAUACGCAUGUUAAUCCAGCCUAGGGUUUACUUAAACACAAUCGUGACUAGCGAUCUUUACUACUCAUGAAUAUAAGUUCAUAACGAUUAGGUGAAAUUCCCUUAUAUCCUAGCAUCAAGUUUAGGCAUGCAAAUUAAGUGUCGACCCUCAACCCACAUAUAUAAACAAGUUCUUAAUCAAAACAGAAAAGUAAACCACAUCUAAAGUUCAUGAAUUCAUAACUGGAGUAAAACAAAUCAUAACCAACAUAUGUCCAUGGCUUCAAAUUUGCCUCUAACUAAAAAGAAAUUAGUUCCACAUGUUUAACAUAAUUGAACAGCAAGUUAAAUUAAACAUUAACAUAGAAUUAAAAGAAGAAAGAAUUCCAAACACUCUAAUAGUUGCAGAUUGCAUAAGCAUGGCACUACUCCUCCUCUCCUUCAAUGGUGGCGGCACAAGGUGGUUAUGGUGGUUGAAUGGUUGGUUAUAUGGAGGAAUGGAUGGGGAAGGUUUAGAUAUGUAGGGAGAGGCAAGGGAAGGCUUGGAGAAUGGUUAAUUUCUGGAUGAUUUGAAUGAGGUUGCUGCCAUGGUAUUUAUAGGAAAAGGAUGGACUUGUUUAACACAAAAUUCUGGUGGAAUUGAGUAGGUGAGCACGGCAAAGAGUGGGAAUUGUUGGUGGGUUAGGUAUUGAGUCAUCCAUUCACAUGUCA
Molecule: long non-coding RNA, 9942 nt
Filed under: Malus domestica (apple)
Lineage: Eukaryota; Viridiplantae; Streptophyta; Magnoliopsida; Rosales; Rosaceae
Description: long non-coding RNA (MDOM_LNC010518)
Source: RNAcentral